AACGCCUGUCGCGGAUCUCUCCCUUCCCCUGGAGCAGAUCUACCCGGAACGGGGCUCCUCCCCAAGCACCGUUCCCCAGCCCCGUCGACCUCCCCCUGGUCGGCGGGGCUUUUUA
This 115-nucleotide small RNA is filed under the name Pseudoxanthomonas suwonensis. Its description in RNAcentral is "Xanthomonadaceae sRNA sX13". It matches the Rfam family "Xanthomonadaceae sRNA sX13". Lineage: Bacteria; Pseudomonadati; Pseudomonadota; Gammaproteobacteria; Lysobacterales; Lysobacteraceae. The record is from Rfam by way of RNAcentral.